CGCGGGGUGGAGCAGCACGCUAGCGCGUCGGGCUCAUAAACCGACGGUCGCAGGGUCACAUCAUGGCCACGCAACCA
This 77-nucleotide transfer RNA is filed under the name Bacillus sp. MB366. RNAcentral's name for it is "tRNA-Met". Lineage: Bacteria; Bacillati; Bacillota; Bacilli; Caryophanales; Bacillaceae. The record is from RNAcentral.